AUUUGUGACAAUGCCACGUUGAAAGCACGACAUCUCGUCGGGUCUGUCAAGUUAAGCAACGUUUGGGCCUGGGUUAGUACUUGGAUCGGAGACGGCCUGGGAAUCCCAGGUGUUGUAGACA
This 121-nucleotide ribosomal RNA is filed under the name Brugia malayi. The record is from RNAcentral. Lineage: Eukaryota; Metazoa; Nematoda; Chromadorea; Rhabditida; Onchocercidae.